GGGUGGAGGAGGGUAUGUGGGACAAGGAGGGGUAGGGGUCGGAGGUCAGCCUCAGGGCUACCAGAGGACGUCUAGUCAGGACCUGUCAUCUUAUGGAUACGGGGGCGGGCAGGUGGCGCCGUCGGGCGGGGGGUUCGGAUUGGCCGACGGGACAGGGGCGGACUUGGACUCAAGUGACGGUUGGAUGGAAGAGUUCUUCCCCAACCAAUAGCAGAGCUGGAAAUGUACUGGGGAGUUUUUACUGGAGGGACUAACGACAAACUGCGUGGGGGAAACUUUAUUGAGACGAGAGAACUGGACAGACAAACGGACAGUCGCCAUAUUUUGUUUUGUAAAGCAUGAACGGACAAGAAGAAGAGUUCUGUGUCGUGCAUUUAGUUGUGUGUAUGGUAAACGUGGUCUGGUGGUUGUGAAAUAUCAUUCAAGAAAGGGAAGUGAAUUUGGUUUUGUUGUCCUUUUGGGCCAUGUUUUAAACCCAACCCUUUAGCAGUGUGUCAACUGGGCCGAUAGGUUAAGACAGGAGAGACAGGAGACUGACUACAAGACAGGAGAGACAGGAGACUGACUACAAGACAGGAGAGACAGGAGACUGACUACAAGACAGGAGAGACAGGAGACUGACUACAAGACAGGAGAGACAGGAGACUGACUACAAGACAGGAGAGACGGGAGACUGACUACAAGACAGGAGAGACAGGAGACUGACUACAAGACAGGAGAGACAGGAGACUGACUACAAGACAGGAGAGACAGGAGACUGACUACAAGACAGGAGAGACGGGAGACUGACUACAAGACAGGAGACUGACUACAAGACAGGAGACUGACUACAAGACAGGAGAGACGGGAGACUGACUACAAGACAGGAGAGACAGGAGACUGACUACAAGACAGGAGACUGACUACAAGACAGGAGACUGACUACAAGACAGGAGAGACGGGAGACUGACUACAAGACAGGAGAGACGGGAGACUGACUACAAGACAGGAGAGAGACAGGAGACUGACUACAAGACAGGAGACUGACUACAAGACAGGAGACUGACUACAAGACAGGAGAGACGGGAGACUGACUACAAGACAGGAGAGAGACAGGAGACUGACUACAAGACAGGAGAGACAGGAGACUGACUACAAGACAGGAGAGAGACAGGAGACUGACUACAAGACAGGAGAGACGGGAGACUGACUACAAGACAGGAGAGAGACAGGAGACUGACUACAAGACAGGAGAGAGACGGGAGACUGACUACAAGACAGGAGAGAGACAGGAGACUGACUACAAGACAGGAGACUGACUACAAGACAGGAGACUGACUACAAGACAGGAGACUGACUACAAGACAGGAGAGACAGGAGACUGACUACAAGACAGGAGAGACAGGAGACUGACUACAAGACAGGAGACUGACUACAAGACAGGAGACUGACUACAAGACAGGAGAGAGACAGGAGACUGACUACAAGACAGGAGAGAGACAGGAGACUGACUACAGGACAGGAGAGAGACAGGAAACUGACUACAAGACAGGAGACUGACUACAAGACAGGAGAGACAGGAGACUGACUACAAGACAGGAGAGAGACAGGAGACUGACUACAAGACAGGAGAGAGACAGGAGACUGACUACAAGACGGGAGACUGACUACAAGACGGGAGACUGACUACAAGACGGGAGACUGACUACAAGACGGGAGACUGACUACAAGACAGGAGAGACAGGAGACUGACUACAAGACAGGAGACUGACUACAAGACAGGAGAGACGGGAGACUGACUACAAGACAGGAGAGAGACAGGAGACUGACUACAAGACAGGAGAGACAGGAGACUGACUACAAGACAGGAGAGACAGGAGACUGACUACAAGACAGGAGAGACGGGAGACUGACUACAAGACAGGAGAGAGACAGGAGACUGACUACAAGACAGGAGAGAGACAGGAGACUGACUACAAGACGGGAGACUGACUACAAGACGGGAGAGAGACAGGAGACUGACUACAAGACAGGAGAGACAGGAGACUGACUACAAGACAGGAGAGACAGGAGACUGACUACAAGACAGGAGAGACAGGAGACUGACUACAAGACAGGAGACUGACUACAAGACAGGAGACUGACUACAAGACAGGAGACUGACUACAAGACAGGAGACUGACUACAAGACAGGAGAGACGGGAGACUGACUACAAGACGGGAGAGAGACAGGAGACUGACUACAAGACAGGAGAGACAGGAGACUGACUACAAGACAGGAGAGACAGGAGACUGACUACAAGACAGGAGAGACAGGAGACUGACUACAAGACAGGAGAGACAGGAGACUGACUACAAGACAGGAGAGACAGGAGACUGACUACAAGACAGGAGAGACGGGAGACUGACUACAAGACAGGAGAGACAGGAGACUGACUACAAGACAGGAGAGAGACAGGAGACUGACUACAAGACAGGAGAGAGACAGGAGACUGACUACAAGACGGGAGACUGACUACAAGACGGGAGACUGACUACAAGACAGGAGAGACAGGAGACUGACUACAAGACAGGAGACUGACUACAAGACAGGAGAGACGGGAGACUGACUACAAGACAGGAGACUGACUACAAGACAGGAGAGAGACAGGAGACUGACUACAAGACAGGAGAGAGACAGGAGACUGACUACAGGACAGGAGAGAGACAGGAAACUGACUACAAGACAGGAGACUGACUACAAGACAGGAGAGAGACAGGAGACUGACUACAAGACAGGAGAGAGACAGGAGACUGACUACAAGACAGGAGAGAGACAGGAGACUGACUACAAGACGGGAGACUGACUACAAGACGGGAGACUGACUACAAGACAGGAGAGACAGGAGACUGACUACAAGACAGGAGAGACGGGAGACUGACUACAAGACAGGAGACUGACUACAAGACAGGAGAGACAGGAGACUGACUACAAGACAGGAGAGAGACGGGAGACUGACUACAAGACAGGAGAGACAGGAGACUGACUACAAGACAGGAGAGACAGGAGACUGACUACAAGACAGGAGAGACAGGAGACUGACUACAAGACAGGAGAGACAGGAGACUGACUACAAGACAGGAGAGACAGGAGACUGACUACAAGACAGGAGAGACAGGAGACUGACUACAAGACAGGAGAGAGACAGGAGACUGACUACAAGACAGGAGACUGACUACAAGACAGGAGACUGACUACAAGACAGGAGACUGACUACAAGACAAGAGACUGACUACAAGCUCUCAAACAGGGGAGAAUCGUUUUAAUAUUUGUUUUUCAAUAUAGGGGUAGGAAAUCUAUAUGUAUUUUUCCAGUAUUAGUUUUUCUUCGAUACCUGGGUUAUUGGAUUGUGUCUGACAGGUUUGACAUCUAUCCCCUCCACGUUAUAUUCAUGCUGUGUGUGAUGGCGUGUGAUCGUAGCAUUUCUACACAUGCAGGUCCCUUUGAAAGACAGACGAGAGACAGACAGACAGACAAGCAGACAGACAGGCAGACAAGGAGAUAAAUACACACACACGCCGUCACGUCAACCCACUUCUGUGACAGCCGUCAGAGCUCAGAAGAGAGCUGUCACCUCUGUCUAUCUGAGAAGUGGUUGAGAUCACUCUCUCUCUACUCGCAUUUCUUCCCUGUUUCACAUUUCUAUUCACCCUCCCCUCUCUCCCUCCCUUCCCACUCUUUCCCUCCCUCUCUCCCUCCCUUCCCACUCUUUCCCUCCCUCUCUCACUCCCUGCCCAACCUCUCUCUUUCUCACUCUCCCUUCCCUACGUCCCCUCGCUCGCUCUCCCUCCCUUCCCACUCUUUCCCUCCCUCUCUCCCUCCCUUCCCACUCUUUCCCUCCCUUCCCACUCUUUCCCUCCCUCUCUCCCUCCCUUCCCACUCUUUCCCUCCCUUCCCACUCUUUCCCUCCCUCUCUCACUCCCUGCCCCCCUCUCUCUUACUCACUCUCCCUUCCUUCCGUCCCCUCGCUCUCCCUCCCUUCCCACUCUUUCCCUCCCUACCCCCUGUCUCUUUCUCACUCUCCCUUCC
RNAcentral lists this long non-coding RNA (4048 nucleotides) under Salmo salar (Atlantic salmon). Its description in RNAcentral is "lncRNA (ENSSSAG00000101919.1)". Lineage: Eukaryota; Metazoa; Chordata; Actinopteri; Salmoniformes; Salmonidae. The record is from RNAcentral.